CACACCGCCCGUCACACCAUGGGAGUGGGCUUCACCAGAAGCAGGUAGUCUAACCGUAAGGAGGGCGCUUGCCACGGUGAGGUUCAUGACUGGGGUG
This 97-nucleotide ribosomal RNA is filed under the name uncultured bacterium. RNAcentral's name for it is "partial 16S ribosomal RNA". It matches the Rfam family "Bacterial small subunit ribosomal RNA", at positions 1386 to 1482 of the family's 1533-position model. The record is from RNAcentral.